CGCCUCUUUUCUCGGAGCUUGCUCCACCGGAAAGAGGAGUGGCGAACGGGUGAGUAACACGUGGGUAACCUGCCCAUCAGAAGGGGAUAACACUUGGAAACAGGUGCUAAUACCGUAUAACAAUCAAAACCGCAUGGUUUUGAUUUGAAAGGCGCUUUCGGGUGUCGCUGAUGGAUGGACCCGCGGUGCAUUAGCUAGUUGGUGAGGUAACGGCUCACCAAGGCCACGAUGCAUAGCCGACCUGAGAGGGUGAUCGGCCACAUUGGGACUGAGACACGGCCCAAACUCCUACGGGAGGCAGCAGUAGGGAAUCUUCGGCAAUGGACGAAAGUCUGACCGAGCAACGCCGCGUGAGUGAAGAAGGUUUUCGGAUCGUAAAACUCUGUUGUUAGAGAAGAACAAGGAUGAGAGUAACUGUUCAUCCCUUGACGGUAUCUAACCAGAAAGCCACGGCUAACUACGUGCCAGCAGCCGCGGUAAUACGUAGGUGGCAAGCGUUGUCCGGAUUUAUUGGGCGUAAAGCGAGCGCAGGCGGUUUCUUAAGUCUGAUGUGAAAGCCCCCGGCUCAACCGGGGGAGGGUCAUUGGAAACUGGGAGACUUGAGUGCAGAAGAAGAGAGUGGAAUUCCAUGUGUAGCGGUGAAAUGCGUAGAUAUAUGGAGGAACACCAGUGGCGAAAGCGGCUCUCUGGUCUGUAACUGACGCUGAAGCUCGAAAGCGUGGGGAGCAAACAAGAUUUUAUACCCUGGUAGUCCACGCCCGUAAACGAUGAGUGCUAAGUGUUUGGGAGAGUGUUCGCCCCUUCACUGCUGCAGCUAACGCAUUAAGCACUCCGCCUGGGGAGUACGACCGCCACGGUGGAAACUCAAGAAUUGACGGGGGCCCGCCCCAGCCGGUGGAGCAUGUGGUUUUAAUUCUAAGCAACGCGAGAAACACUUACCACGUCGUUGACAUCCUUUGACCACUCUAAAGAUAAAGCUUCCCCCUCCUGGGCAGAUGAC
RNAcentral lists this ribosomal RNA (1000 nucleotides) under Enterococcus faecium. RNAcentral describes it as "bacterial SSU rRNA". It matches the Rfam family "Bacterial small subunit ribosomal RNA", at positions 67 to 1035 of the family's 1533-position model. Lineage: Bacteria; Bacillati; Bacillota; Bacilli; Lactobacillales; Enterococcaceae. The record is from RNAcentral.